UUUUAUGAGAGUUUGAUCCUGGCUCAGGACGAACGCUGGCGGCGUGCCUAAUACAUGCAAGUCGAACGCUUCUUUUUCCAACGGAGCUUGCUCCACCGGAAAAAGAAGAGUGGCGAACGGGUGAGUAACACGUGGGUAACCUGCCCAUCAGAAGGGGAUAACACUUGGAAACAGGUGCUAAUACCGUAUAACAAUCAAAACCGCAUGGUUUUGAUUUGAAAGGCGCUUUCGGGUGUCGCUGAUGGAUGGACCCGCGGUGCAUUAGCUAGUUGGUGAGGUAACGGCUCACCAAGGCCACGAUGCAUAGCCGACCUGAGAGGGUGAUCGGCCACAUUGGGACUGAGACACGGCCCAAACUCCUACGG
This 365-nucleotide ribosomal RNA is filed under the name Enterococcus faecium. Its description in RNAcentral is "bacterial SSU rRNA". It matches the Rfam family "Bacterial small subunit ribosomal RNA", at positions 1 to 344 of the family's 1533-position model. Lineage: Bacteria; Bacillati; Bacillota; Bacilli; Lactobacillales; Enterococcaceae. The record is from RNAcentral.